This is a long non-coding RNA of Lontra canadensis (Northern American river otter), 126 nucleotides long. RefSeq lists it as uncharacterized. The transcript is spliced from 3 exons. NCBI's taxonomy places the organism in Eukaryota, Metazoa, Chordata, Mammalia, Carnivora, Mustelidae. The record is from RefSeq and is a predicted model, not a curated record.
AUCUUUAAAAAAGAAAUGACAAGACAUAGACUCUGUAAGUAUCAGAGAAUAAUAAGUAAAAGAGCAGGGACUAGAACCAGGUCUUCUGGUUUCCAGUCACGUGCUCUUUUUAUUAUGCCCUCUGCC